RNAcentral lists this ribosomal RNA (1533 nucleotides) under uncultured bacterium. RNAcentral's name for it is "bacterial SSU rRNA". It matches the Rfam family "Bacterial small subunit ribosomal RNA". The record is from RNAcentral.
GACGAACGCUGGCGGCAUGCCUAACACAUGCAAGUCGAACGAUCAAGAGGCAGGAAGCUAGAGGCAAGAAGCAAGAUAAAAGCUUUUUAAAAGCUUCGUAGGAUUACGAAAAUCCUGCAUCCUGCUUCCAGCUUCUUGCUUCUUGAUAGUGGCGGACGGGUGAGUAACGCGUGGGUAACCUGCCCAUAAGACUGGGAUAACUUCGGGAAACCGGAGCUAAUACCGGAUAACUUCUUAGAUUCGCAUGGAUUUAAGAAGAAAGAUGGCCUCUCGAAGAAGCUAUCGCUUAUGGAUGGACCCGCGUCUGAUUAGCUAGUUGGUGAGGUAACGGCUCACCAAGGCGACGAUCAGUAGCCGGCCUGAGAGGGUGAACGGCCACACUGGGACUGAGACACGGCCCAGACUCCUACGGGAGGCAGCAGUGGGGGAUAUUGCGCAAUGGGGGCAACCCUGACGCAGCAAUGCCGCGUGAAGGAAGAAGGUCUUCGGAUUGUAAACUUCUGUUAAGAGGGAUGAAGAAAUGACAGUACCUCAAGAGGAAGCCCCGGCUAACUACGUGCCAGCAGCCGCGGUAAUACGUAGGGGGCGAGCGUUGUCCGGAAUCACUGGGCGUAAAGGGCGUGUAGGUGGUUAAAUAAGUCAGGUGUUAAAAUGCGGGGCUCAACCCCGUAAUGCACUUGAAACUGUAUAACUUGAGGACAGGAGAGGAAAGUGGAAUUCCUAGUGUAGCGGUGAAAUGCGUAGAUAUUAGGAGGAACACCGGUGGCGAAGGCGACUUUCUGGCCUGGCCCUGACACUGAGGCGCGAAAGCGUGGGGAGCAAACAGGAUUAGAUACCCUGGUAGUCCACGCUGUAAACGAUGGGUACUAGGUGUAGGUGGUUUAGAUACCAUCUGUGCCGCAGUUAACGCAUUAAGUGCCCCGCCUGGGGAGUACGAUGGCAACAUUGAAACUCAAAGGAAUUGACGGGGGCCCGCACAAGCAGCGGAGCAUGUGGUUUAAUUCGAAGCAACGCGAAGAACCUUACCAGGGCUUGACAUCCUCUGAAGGCACUAGAGAUAGUGCUGUCCCUUCGGGGCAGAGAGACAGGUGGUGCAUGGUUGUCGUCAGCUCGUGUCGUGAGAUGUUGGGUUAAGUCCCGCAACGAGCGCAACCCUUAUACUUAGUUGCUAACGGGUAAAGCUGAGCACUCUAAGUAGACUGCCGGCAAAAAGUCGGAGGAAGGUGGGGAUGACGUCAAAUCAUCAUGCCCCUUAUGUCCUGGGCUACACACGUGCUACAAUGGCCUGAACAGAGGGCAGCGAAGGAGUGAUCCGGAGCAAAUCCCUAAAAACAGGUCUCAGUUCGGAUUGUAGGCUGCAACUCGCCUACAUGAAGUCGGAGUUGCUAGUAAUCGCGAAUCAGCACGUCGCGGUGAAUGCGUUCCCGGGCCUUGUACACACCGCCCGUCACACCACGAAAGUCUGCAACACCCGAAGCCGGUGGGCUAACCGCAAGGAGGCAGCCGUCGAAGGUGGGGCAGAUGAUUGGGGUG